Molecule: long non-coding RNA, 1149 nt
Organism: Artibeus jamaicensis (Jamaican fruit-eating bat)
Lineage: Eukaryota; Metazoa; Chordata; Mammalia; Chiroptera; Phyllostomidae
Exons: 3
Source: RefSeq, a predicted model, not a curated record
UAUUGUGUUGAAAAAUUCACCUAUCUCAUGGGGGUUCCCUAUUAUGUAAUUUGUUUCUUUUCUGCUGCAUUCAAAGUUCUUAAAUUUGUCUUUGACUUUUGAUGACUGAGUUAUAAUGUGUCUUGGUGUGGCCCUUUUUUUAGUUCAACCUAUUUGGGAUCCUUUCGGCCUCAAUCAUCUGGAAACCCAUUUCUCAUCCCAAACUCGAGAGGUGUUCAGCCAUUAUUGCUCUGAAUAGACUUCCAUUCUCUCUCCCUUCCUCUUCUCCUUCUGGGGUUCCCCUAUGCGUAUCUUGUUUGUUUUUAUGGAUGUCCCCAACUCCCAUAGAGCUUCUCCACUCUCAUGUUCUUUUUGUUCCUUGGGAUAAAAAAAUUCAAAUAAUUUCUCUUCUACACUAGUGAUUCUCUCCUCUGCUUGGUUGACUCUGCUGUUUAAACUCUUUGCAGUUCUUCAGUGGCAGUAUUAUAUUCUUCAGCUUUAGAAUUUCUGGGUUUAAAAAAUUUUUUUUUAAUCUUCACCUGAGGACAUUUUUUCAUUGCUUUUAGAGAGAGAAGAAGGGAGAGAGGAAGGGAGAGCGAGAAACAUCGAUGCGAGACAGAAGCAUCGAUUGGUUGCCUCCCGUGCACACCCGGACUGGGGAUCGAAUCUGCAGCCUAGGGGAGAGAGAGGCCAGCGCUUUCUGAUCACUUGCUCUCUGGUGAGCUCUCUGCUGAUGUUCUGCUGCAUGUUGCAGAACUUCGUUUGCACAAGAGAUGAGAAAACCGAGGCUUAAAGAGUUGAAGCGACUUGCCUAAGCUGACCAUGAGUGCGCAGCGGAACUCAGCUCUCUGAGACUGUCUGAGGGCGGCGCCUGUCUGCUCCUUGUGCUACCUCCCAUCCCGUGUGGCGUCUGUCACGGAGUAGGUGCAGAAAAGCGGGGGGCUGACGAUGAACAGGCUGUCUCAUUCAAUAUGCUUAUAAUUGAUAAGACGUGUAUUUGUGGUUGCUGUGUGCGUGGUGCGCCUUCAGUGCACAGCAGGGACUGAAGGCAGGCUGAGCUCCCGCUUGCCUAGUAAGCCUGGAGAGCAGCAGGACUGGCACACUAACUUUGCAACACUUCUGCGAAGCCAAGGUAUUUCAAAUUUGACUGUUAAAGCAUCUUUCAGAUGA